UCUCUGUGUCAGUAGGUUCGCGAGUCCUCAGUCCUGAGAGCGAGACCGUUGUCGUUCACUGAGUGAUUCAUGUCGUUAAUCCGCAGUGAACAAAUCGUUCGCUCAGUUCUCCCCAAACCUCAUGAUGAGUAGCUGGCUGCGUCAAGGGUUCAGUGAGUCACAGAAUGCGCCAGUUCCACCCAUACCGGCAUGGUCGCGGCGGAGCUCAACUGAACUGAGAAAGGAACAAAUCAGUUCAUGAAAUGAUUCGUAUGUUCACUCAAAAGAUCUGUUUGUUCGAACGACACAACACUACCGGACAGCUCCGCAAAAGAGGACAUGUCCGGUGAAAAGAGGAGGUGUCUUGACACGCAGUGUCUCAGGGGAGUCGACGGCAGCUAUGGACGGCGCAAGCUCAGCUUUUCUCCGAUGCCGGAGGGACACGACAUACUUCAAUCAAUCAAUCAAUGUUUAUUUAUACAGCCCUAAAUCACAAAUGUCUCAAAGGACUGUACAAACCAUUACGACUACGACAUCCUUGGAAGAACCCACAUAAGGGCAAGGAAAACUCACACCCAGUGGGCAGGGAGAAUUCACACCGAGUGGGAUGCCAGUGACAAUGACGACUAAGAGAAACCUCGGAGAGGACCUCCCCCCCCUCUAAGUACAGAUGAUGUGGCUUGAACAGAUUAAAUGUUUGUUUACAUUGGAAAAAUUAUGAAUGCACUGAAAUGAAAGUUCUUGGCUGAAACUUAAGACUAUUUAUUGAAAUAUGUCAAUACCUCAGACUAGGCAUGGGCCAGAACAUGGUAUCAUUACCUUUAACAAAAAUAACAUGUUUUUGUAGCAAUGUUUUAUACACCCCGCUAGCAGCACACCCCGCCAGCCCCCCACCCCCCGUGCGUCGAUAAGGUGGGCGGGGUUAAAGGGCGCGGGGGUGUAAAAUAUAUUCAGGAAUUGUCACGGAUACAAAGGA
Molecule: long non-coding RNA, 955 nt
Organism: Nerophis ophidion (straightnose pipefish)
Lineage: Eukaryota; Metazoa; Chordata; Actinopteri; Syngnathiformes; Syngnathidae
Exons: 3
Source: RefSeq, a predicted model, not a curated record